Long non-coding RNA from Drosophila hydei, 843 nucleotides. RefSeq lists it as uncharacterized. The record is from RefSeq and is a predicted model, not a curated record. Lineage: Eukaryota; Metazoa; Arthropoda; Insecta; Diptera; Drosophilidae. The transcript has 3 exons.
AAGCUUAACAUUCAGUGAUCUCCUCAUAAGUACAUUAGUGCGUUGAUGUUUCAACAGUUUCACAUUUUCGGUUACGCUGCAAUAUGGCGCGCAUAAAAACUGAAUGCUCCCUUCAAUCAUUGAUCAGAAGUCAGCGACAUGGAAAACGCAGAACAAAGUUCGCCCAGAACAAAUCGUUAAUAUCUUAGAAAAAAGAUAAAAAGAAAACGGAUGUAUAAUUAAACUGCGAAAGCUGUCACACAAUUUUAAUCUCUCACUCAAAUACCUGAUCACAACAGAUCAAAUAGCCAGCCCAAGUGUUACCAUAGAAGCUUGAUGUGGUAUCACAACCUAUUCAUGCAUGAACUUACAAAAUCGAGGAUGUCGUCGAGGAUGUCGAGGAUGUCGUCUACGCACUCAGGUUGAAGUGUUCUUGAAGACUAGGACAUCAAGACAAACAUAAAUGCCUAACACCUCGUUGCUGACUACAUAUAAAUUAAUAAGUGAACGGAAGCUUAUCGACGUCGGUGCAGCGGCAGCAGAUUUCAGCAGAACGAAGUGGAUUUGGAGUGGAUGGGGACCAGACGCUGACUUUGUUUUAUGUGGAAAAUAUAGUUUGAAGCGGAUGGAAGUCAGACGCUGAGUGUGUUAAAAAUAUUGUUUUGACAAUAUUUGAAUGUUCAAAUUCUUAACUCCUCCCCUCUUAGUGUGUGGUCAUGUGUGGUCUCUUAGAAAAAUGGGAUGUUGUUAAAUUGCAUGUAGCACGGCUUGGGUUGUUGUGCUUCUUCUUCAGCGGUUGGUGGAGCCAGCUGUAAAAUGAUUUUUCUUGUUUUUUUUUGCUAAGAAUUACGGUGGUCAAGGUUA